GCGGAAGCUGCGCCAUCAUGCUCGUUUUCGCGUGCGUUCGCGUCGCGCGCUGUGCGAAGUAAUUUUAAACGUGUGAUUAGUUUUGCGCGCGGGGUAGAAAAAGAUGUGGCCCAUGCUUUGUGUAAAACUCGUGCCGCACUUCAAAGCAAAGCGUUCGUACGCACUGGAAGAUGGAUCCACGAAGGCUGAAACGAGAAGUUGCAACGUGCCGGUCGAUAGUACUGGCAUGAUGGAAACUUUCAGGCAAGUGCCGGUUUAUUUGGUAUUUGUUUUGUUCGCUUUAGAAUUAUCUCACUGUGAUCUCGUAGCAUAAUUCAUAAUUCGCUAAUGUAAGAGCAAGAGCAGCUGCACUCCUACUAGGGCAAGUUAACUACCUCGAUCCCGUCCCGUGUGACUAAUGUUUGUCAAAUUUACAUCGGGCGUGGUGCGCCUGCAUAGUUACGCUUUGUUUCUCAGCGCUUGAAUGUUCAUUGAUGUGUUUCUCUUGUGCGUUCAGCGCGGCUGCUUGUAAUGCGGUCGUUCGCGCUUCAGUUAAAUGUGGUCGACCACUUUUGCGUCGCGUAGAAAAGGACUGGCUUAGCCACCUUUCGAAGGAACCGGCGCGGUAUUGGUUCUCCCUGAUGCGGUCGCGUGCUGCUGUUGCUGCUUGCCGGACGCCUUCAGCAUUUUAUCGGCUCGCUUUGUCUGUGCGCGUGCUCGCGCUCGGCUUGAUUUGUGUGUGCGCUCAGCUCAGCUCGCUUUGUGUGUGCGUGCGUGCGUGUGUGUGUGCGCUCAGCUCAGCUCGCUUUGUGUGUGUGUGUGUGUGUGUGCGCGCGCGCGCGCGCGUGCGUUCAGUACAUGCCGGUUUGUAUGGGCCGGCGUGUUUGCGCGUGUCUAGUGCGUACGUGUUUUGUGAGUGUGUUGUCUGUGGGUCGAUGUGUGUGCGUGCACGUGUUAGCGUGUCUGCCUGCAUGCAUGUAUGUGUGCUUGUUUGUGUUCAUCAAUGUGCGCGUGCGCGCUUUUGUGUCUGCGCUUUGAGAGUGCGUAUACUUGUGUGUGCGUGUGGAUGCGUUUUGUGUGCGUGCGUAUGUAUUGCAUGAGGCCGGUAGAGUUUUACUCGCAAUAAAACUCUUCCGAUUUGGUGCAGCGAGUGUUCCCGCCUGAAAGCCGAGUUUGGUUUCAAGCCACCCUGGACAACUGCUGUAUGAGGCGCCGUUUCUCGGGAGGACCAGUGGGAAGGCGCCAAGUCAUGCAGAUGGUAGCAGCGAUUUCACAAUGCCCAGCCUUGGCGCCCCCCAUCAAGAGCAAGCCACUUGCUUUCGCCUUCAGACAGAUGGUUAACGUCUUCUUGAAAGCGGUUGAGAAGACAACAUUGCUGCAAGAUUCCAGCAAUGCCAUGCGCUGCAUUUAUUGGUCAAGAUGCUCAGAGAAUGGAGUCCCUGCACCUCGUGGUUAACCGUGAACAUUUCUUUUUCUUUUGGAAAGCUAAAGGCCAUUUGCUGCAUCACUUGCAUUUUUGCAGCUCAGAUGUGUACUAUAUUUUUCUAAUUUUGAAUCAAUAUUGGCUAUUCAGUAUAAAAAAUGACGUACAGCGUGAAGGACAAGGACUGCGAGAGACACACUCCACUGACUUUCAACAAUAUUUUAUUGCGUUGCCACAUCGUAUGUGUAUACACAGAGGGGUCAUGCGCAGAAAAUGAAAGCCAGACACAAGGGGUGUUCUAACAGCAAGUCAUUGUAAAAAGAACAUGGUCACUUGAAAAAAAAAAACAUCACAAUUUCUAUCUGUUUAGAUACAAAAUUUCACUAGGGGUCAGCGUGAUAGAGGGGGCACUAACGCACACACUACCCAGUUUUCUGGUGAAAUCAGCUUCAAUAAUUUACCGGGUGAGCUGUGUCUCGCUAAAACUUCGGUAUCUUAAAGAGGGGCAUGCAGCCGCAGUCCCGGCAAUGAAUGCCCAAGUGGCCUUGAACAGUGUUAUGGACGUUGUUAUAGUGCUCUCUUAAACGAUCAUUUAGGCGCAUGCCUAUCUGUCCAAUAUAUUUACUGCCUCAAAAUGGGAAUUUGGGAAACCACAUUCAUUGCACACAUCGCAAAACGUUUUCUGUGCUCGGCAGAGCAACAACUCUGACGUGAUUUAGGCGCGUUUACACACUUACAGAGCCUUGCCAGCUUUUCCGGGGCUGAGAAAAGGACUGUGAUUUCUGCAGGUCCCCUAAUCUUUUUUAGCCUAUGGGAGACAUCAUGAACAUACGGUAGCACUGCAAACCUGUGUCUUUCAACCGGCUGGUUCCUUGACCGAGCGUGCUCAUCAUGUUUUGUGCACUUCAGAAGCUGUUCCGCUAUGGCUGAAAUUAAGGCCAAAGGGUAGCCAACCCAAGAAAGGCAAUCAGCCUGUGCAGCAACGCUAUGUUGCAUCUCUUGUGAGCAAGAUUUAUUGAGGCUGUUAAGGAGGCAAAGCUUCACAAUAUCUCAUUUGACUUUGUUGGACAGACAGGCAGGCGCCUAAACAAUCAUUUAGGAGAGCACGAUAACAACGUCCAUAACACUGUUCAAGGCCACUUCGGCAUCCAUUGCUGGGACUGCGGCUGCAUGCCCCUCUUUGAAGGUACGGAAGCUUUAGUGAGACAGGUCAUCCAGGAAACUAUAGAAGCAGAUUUCACUAGAAAACUGGUUAGUGUGUGCGUUAGUGACCCCUCUAUCGUGCUGACCCCUAGUGAAGUCUUGUAUCUCAACAGAUAGAAAUUCUAAUGUUUAUUUUUUUCAAAGGACGAUGUUCUUAGUACAGUCACUUGCUGUUAGACACCCCUUGUGACUCAUAUUCUGCGCAUGCCCGCUUUUGUGCAAAUAUACUCGAUGUGGCAACGUAAUUAAAUAUUGUUUGAAGUCAGCGCAGUCUGUCAUCUCUCGCAGUUCUUGUCAUUCAAGCUGUACGUAAUUUUAUCUCAUUAAUUGCAAACUAUCCCAAGGAACUACCCUUGUUCAGUAUAAUUAUAAUGUUUGAUAUGACCAUUUGCUGGCAAAUGUUAACAGUGUGAUAUUUAACUUGAACUUUUGCAUGACUGCCUAUGCCUGUGUUCUUUUAGUAACCAGAGUAUGGCUAAUUUAUUAAACCAUAUUUGCUAAUUUGCAUGCUCACAUGCUAUAGCAUGCCUUAAUCUUGAAUUACUGCAUCUAAGUGCAAAUAAUUUAGAAAUUUACUAUGUAUUUUAAAACACUGUCCACAUUUUGUGCUCAGCAAAAUCGUUUAAUCAACAGUGGUUUGUUUUUAUCAGGCCUCCUGCUGCACUUUGCACCCAGGCACUAGUAGAUGUGGAAUAUGCACUCUUUUGAUUUAUAGUAAGCAAAGAACCUAUUUUCAAACUACAUAUUGUAUAUGUACCAGUGCCUUAGAGUUACAAAACAAAAAUUUAUAGAAACUGGUAUUGUAGUUAGAAAAACCGCUACACAGCACCUUUAGCCCAGAGAACUCUCAUUUCACAAAAGAGGACAAACUAUGUAGGCGCUAAAAAAUUCUACGUAUUUUUUGUGCUCAAGUAAUCUUGUUGGAAAUAGAAAAUUAGCAAUAAGGCUCCUGGCAUAAACCUCACUUAAAGCAUGUCUAUGCUUGGAAAGUAUUCUUUCAGUCUGAAAAAUGUUGGCCAGUUAUGCUUUACAUCGACUUUCCAAACUUUUCAUAAUGCUUUGCGAUUACAUUAGUGUACAAAAUAACAGGUGUCUUUCUUGUGCGUUUGCUCUGCAUUUCAAUUGCUUCCCUAAUUCACCUUUGCAAUAUGCCUUUUUUUAAGGCAUCAAAACUUGAAUUUUCGUUCACUGGAGCCUAAUACUAAAAAUUUAUUCCUUUAUGUGGCCCAAAACACUGCGAAUCAACCCAGGCUCUUUCAGUGCCGCUAUACAUAGUUUCUUCUCUAAUAACAGAUUUGAUCAAUACAUAUAUUUUAGGUACCUUUGUGGGGAAUGUACAUGUUCUUGUACUUACCGAUGUGUUUGGUGAUUGUGCAUGAUUAUAUUUCAUGUGAUUUAUGUAUAUGUUGUACUCUGUAUUGCAGCAUGCAAUAAAUAUAUUUGCAUUUUCUUGAAAAUGCAGCAUAUAUCUUACCAGUCUGUGUUGCAUGUUAUUUGGAUAUGGAAAUCG
Long non-coding RNA from Dermacentor albipictus, 4115 nucleotides. RefSeq lists it as uncharacterized. Lineage: Eukaryota; Metazoa; Arthropoda; Arachnida; Ixodida; Ixodidae. The record is from RefSeq and is a predicted model, not a curated record.